UGCGCGUCUUANCAUGCAAGUCGAACGAUGAAACCACUUCGGUGGGGAUUAGUGGCGAACGGGUUGAGUAACACGUGGGCAAUCUGCCCUGCACUCUGGGACAAGCCCUGGAAACGGGGUCUAAUACCGGAUACUGACCCGCCUGGGCAUCCAGGCGGUUCGAAAGCUCCGGCGGUGCAGGAUGAGCCCGCGGCCUAUCAGCUUGUUGGUGAGGUAACGGCUCACCAAGGCGACGACGGGUAGCCGGCCUGAGAGGGCGACCGGCCACACUGGGACUGAGACACGGCCCAGACUCCUACGGGAGGCAGCAGA
RNAcentral lists this ribosomal RNA (312 nucleotides) under Streptomyces sp. SNB-15-20-17. Its description in RNAcentral is "bacterial SSU rRNA". It matches the Rfam family "Bacterial small subunit ribosomal RNA", at positions 42 to 355 of the family's 1533-position model. Lineage: Bacteria; Bacillati; Actinomycetota; Actinomycetes; Kitasatosporales; Streptomycetaceae. The record is from RNAcentral.